This 253-nucleotide ribosomal RNA is filed under the name uncultured bacterium. RNAcentral describes it as "partial 16S ribosomal RNA". It matches the Rfam family "Bacterial small subunit ribosomal RNA", at positions 524 to 776 of the family's 1533-position model. The record is from RNAcentral.
UACGAACUGUGCGAACGUUAUUCGGAAUCACUGGGCUUACAGGGUGCGUAGGCGGCUUAGCAAGUCAGGCGUGAAAGCCCCGGGCUCAACCUGGGAACUGCGCUUGAGACUGCGGGACUGGAGUUCGGGAGAGGAGAGCGGAAUUCCCAGUGUAGAGGUGAAAUUCGUAGAUAUUGGGAAGAACACCGGUGGCGAAGGCGGCUCUCUGGACCGACACUGACGCUGAGGCGCGAAAGCGUGGGGAGCAAACAGG